This 464-nucleotide ribosomal RNA is filed under the name Vreelandella stevensii. Its description in RNAcentral is "partial 16S ribosomal RNA". It matches the Rfam family "Bacterial small subunit ribosomal RNA", at positions 339 to 795 of the family's 1533-position model. Lineage: Bacteria; Pseudomonadati; Pseudomonadota; Gammaproteobacteria; Oceanospirillales; Halomonadaceae. The record is from RNAcentral.
CUACGGGCGGCAGCAGUGGGGAAUAUUGGACAAUGGGCGAAAGCCUGAUCCAGCCAUGCCGCGUGUGUGAAGAAGGCCUUCGGGUUGUAAAGCACUUUCAGUGGGGAAGAAAGCCUUGGGGCUAAUACCCUCGAGGAAGGACAUCACCCACAGAAGAAGCACCGGCUAACUCCGUGCCAGCAGCCGCGGUAAUACGGAGGGUGCGAGCGUUAAUCGGAAUUACUGGGCGUAAAGCGCGCGUAGGCGGUCUGAUAAGCCGGUUGUGAAAGCCCCGGGCUCAACCUGGGAACGGCAUCCGGAACUGUCAGGCUAGAGUGCAGGAGAGGAAGGUAGAAUUCCCGGUGUAGCGGUGAAAUGCGUAGAGAUCGGGAGGAAUACCAGUGGCGAAGGCGGCCUUCUGGACUGACACUGACGCUGAGGUGCGAAAGCGUGGGUAGCAAACAGGAUUAGAUACCCCAGUAGUC